UGGCUCUCGCAUCGAUGAAGAACGCAGCGAAAUGCGAUAAGUAAUGUGAAUUGCAGAAUUCAGUGAAUCAUCGAAUCUUUGAACGCACCUUGCGCUCCUUGGUAUUCUGAGGAGCAUGCCUGUUUGAGUGUCAUGAAAUUCUCAACCUACCGGUCUUUGCAGAUCGGUAAGGCUUGGACUUGGAGGCUUGUCGGCCCGUGUGGUCGACUCCUCUCAAAUGCAUUAGCCUGGUUCCUUGCGGAUCGGCUCUCGGUGUGAUAAUUGUCUACGCCGCGACCGUGAAGCGUUUGGCUGGCUUCUAACCGUCUCGAUGGAGACAACUUUCUGACCUCUGACCUCAAAUCAGGUAGGACUACCCGCUGA
RNAcentral lists this unclassified non-coding RNA (363 nucleotides) under uncultured fungus. Its description in RNAcentral is "partial contains 5.8S ribosomal RNA and internal transcribed spacer 2". The stretch from base 1 to 133 matches the Rfam family "5.8S ribosomal RNA", at positions 22 to 154 of the family's 154-position model. Lineage: Eukaryota; Fungi. The record is from RNAcentral.